AGUCAGAACAGAGGGAGAGUAGAGUGUCAGAACAGAGGGAAAGAGAGAGAGGGAAUGGAGAGACUCAGAACAGAGGGAAAGAGAGAGAGAGGGAGGGUAGAUGUGUGGAAUUUGCUUUAUGUUUGGUAAUUGGGGGCCUUUGAGCCCUGAUGGGCUGGGUGACAUCAGUGACUCUCUGAGAGAUAUGAGCUGCUGAGGAGAGCAAGAGAGAGAGAAAGGGAGAGAUUAGUCAGCAGAAAUGAUUCAGGACGACGUUCGUCUGAGGAAGAUAAAGGACACACAGACAGACAGACAGACAGACAGACACGAGGGCUAGGUAAUCAGGUAUUCCUCCCAAGGUGUGUAUAUUGAUUUUAGUUCCCUUCUCAUUAACUAGCUACUGACAGUGACCAGAGAUGGCUAGAUUGAGCUAGAGGGGUGUGUGUGUGUGUGCGGGUGUGUGUGUGUGUGUGCGUGCAAGCGUGUGUUUUUGUGAGAGAGUUAACAGGACUUUCAAUAAGAAUGACACACACAGCUCUGAUUCCAUUUUCUGCUUUGUGUUUCAAUGAGGUCUUAGUGGAAUAGUGACUCUCUGAGAGAUACGAGUUGCUGUGUAAACUUUUGUUAUUGACCAAAUACGUAUUUUCCACCAUAAUUUGCAAAUAAAUAAAUAAAAAAUGUGAUUUUCUGGAA
Molecule: long non-coding RNA, 672 nt
Organism: Oncorhynchus kisutch (coho salmon)
Lineage: Eukaryota; Metazoa; Chordata; Actinopteri; Salmoniformes; Salmonidae
Exons: 2
Source: RefSeq, a predicted model, not a curated record